This is a long non-coding RNA of Solanum stenotomum, 547 nucleotides long. RefSeq lists it as uncharacterized. The record is from RefSeq and is a predicted model, not a curated record. Lineage: Eukaryota; Viridiplantae; Streptophyta; Magnoliopsida; Solanales; Solanaceae. The transcript has 5 exons.
CUUAAGCUUGUUUGAUUUUUGUAGAAGACAAGUGGCUGGUAGGGCUUUGCUUGGAGCACCAACACAAUUAAGGGGAUACUGCCAGAAAAUCUCUCCCACAAAAACCUCUAGUAGAGUUGGUCAUGAUGUUAGAGCUUUCAUUGGGGGCGGACUCGUAUCUGCGUGCUUCUACUUGUACUGGUUACGCAACGAAGCUUUUAAAAUUAAAGAGUCUAGGAAGUAGCGUCUUAAAGCUGCCCUUAUGCCGGAAAGGACAACAUGGAGGAAUAAAUGAUUAUGGCCUAGGAAUGUUGAUAUUUGUUAUUUCCUAGUUGUACUUGUGCACGCUUAGUUUUGUGAUGUUAUUUUAAGUUGAGUCUUUUUUAUGCUUAUGUAACUCUCUUGGGGUCGUUGUCAUUUCUUGUGCCAUCAUAUCAAAUUCAUCAUUGUGGUUCUGUGAUCUUCAUUUGAUGCUUUGACAUCUGACCUUAAACUUUGGACAAGUAUCAGUGAACGAAUUGGUGACUGCAAUAUGUUUAAAAUACUGUUCUGAUUCCCUUUUUUAGUA